GAUGAACGCUGGCGGCGUGCUUAACACAUGCAAGUCGAACGGUGAACACGGAGCUUGCUCUGUGGGCUCAGUGGCGCACGGGUGCGUAACACGUGAGCAACCUGCCCCUGCCUCUGGGAUAAGCGCUGGAAACGGCGUCUAAUACUGGAUAUGUGACGUGACCGCAUGGUCUGCGUUUGGAAGGAUUUUUCGGUUGGGGAUGGGCUCGCGGCCUCUCAGCUUGUUGGUGAGGUAAUGGCUCACCAAGGCGUCGACGGGUAGCCGGCCUGAGAGGGUGACCGGCCACACUGGGACUGAGACACGGCCCAGACUCCUACGGGAGGCAGCAGUGGGGAAUAUUGCACAAUGGGCGCAAGCCUGAUGCAGCAACGCCGCGUGAGGGAUGACGGCCUUCGGGUUGUAAACCUCUUUUAGCAGGGAAGAAGCGAAAGUGACGGUACCUGCAGAAAAAGCGCCGGCUAACUACGUG
Molecule: ribosomal RNA, 469 nt
Filed under: uncultured bacterium
Lineage: Bacteria
Description: partial 16S ribosomal RNA
Rfam family: Bacterial small subunit ribosomal RNA
Source: RNAcentral